GAUGAAGAACGUAGCGAAAUGCGAUAAGUAAUGUGAAUUGCAGAAUUCAGUGAAUCAUCGAAUCCUUGAACGCACAUUGCGCCCCUUGGUAUUCCGAGGGGCAUGCCUGUUCGAGCGUCAUUAUAACCCCUCAAGCUCAGCUUGGUGUUGGGGCCUGCUGCACUGGCAGCCCUUAAAAUCAGUGGCGGCGCCAUCUGGCUCUAAGCGUAGUAAUUCUUCUCGCUAUGGAGUCCUGGUGGAUGCUUGCCAUCAACCCCCAAUUUUUCUAUGGUUGACCUCGGAUCAGGUAGGGAUACCCGCUGAACUUAAGCAUAUCAAUAAGCGGAGGA
This 329-nucleotide unclassified non-coding RNA is filed under the name soil metagenome. RNAcentral's name for it is "partial contains 5.8S ribosomal RNA, internal transcribed spacer 2, and large subunit ribosomal RNA". The stretch from base 1 to 120 matches the Rfam family "5.8S ribosomal RNA", at positions 35 to 154 of the family's 154-position model. The record is from RNAcentral.